RNAcentral lists this unclassified non-coding RNA (333 nucleotides) under soil metagenome. RNAcentral's name for it is "partial contains 5.8S ribosomal RNA, internal transcribed spacer 2, and large subunit ribosomal RNA". The stretch from base 1 to 120 matches the Rfam family "5.8S ribosomal RNA", at positions 35 to 154 of the family's 154-position model. The record is from RNAcentral.
GAUGAAGAACGCAGCGAAAUGCGAUAAGUAGUGUGAAUUGCAGAAUUCAGUGAAUCAUCGAAUCUUUGAACGCACAUUGCGCCCCUUGGUAUUCCAUGGGGCAUGCCUGUUCGAGCGUCAUUUGUACCUUCAAGCUUUGCUUGGUGUUGGGUGUUUGUCCAUUCUCUUGCAGAGGGACUCGCCUUAAAGUAAUUGGCAGCCAGUGUUUUGGUUUUGAAGCGCAGCACAAGUCGCGAUUCAAAGCUAUACGCCCGCUUCCACAAGCCUUCUUCACUUUUGACCUCGGAUCAGGUAGGGAUACCCGCUGAACUUAAGCAUAUCAAUAAGCGGGGA